AAGGGUAGGUAGGUGGUCAUGUAAGUCUGGUGUGAAAUCCCACGGCUCAACCGUGGAACUGCAUUGGAAACUGCAUGACUUGAGUACCGGAGAGGUGAGGGGAAUUCUCGGUGUAAGGGUGAAAUCUGUAGAUAUCGAGAGGAACACCAGUGGCGAAGGCGCCUCACUGGCCGGUUACUGACACUGAGCUACGAAAGCAAGGGGAGCAAACAGGAUUAGAUACCCUGGUAGUCCUUGCCGUAAACGAUGUGGAUUAGGUGUUGGGGGUGUCGAUCCCUCCAGCGCCGAAGCUAACGCAUUAAAUCCACCACCUGGGGAGUACGGUCGCAAGACUGAAACUCAAAGAAAUUGACGGGGACCCGCACAAGCGGUGGAGCAUGUGGUUUAAUUCGAGGCUACGCGAAGAACCUUACCCAGGCUUGACAUGUAGUUGCCAGCCCAUGAAAGUGGGUGUUCCCGCAAGGGACGAUUACACAGGUGCUGCAUGGCUGUCGUCAGCUCGUGCUGUGAAGUGUUGGGUUAAGUCCCGCAACGAGCGCAACCUUUGUCCUUAGUUGCCAUCAGGUAAAGCUGGGCACUCUAGGGAGACUGCCGGUGAUAAACUGGAGGAAGGAGGAGAUGACGUCAAGUCAGUAUGGCCCUUAUGCCUGGGGCUACACACGUGCUACAAUGGCCAUCACAAAGAGUCGCGAGACCGUAAGGUGGAGCAAAUCUCAAAAAAAUGGCCUCAGUUCAGAUUGAGGGCUGCAAUUCGCCCUCAUGAAGUCGGAAUCGCUAGUAACGGUAGAUCAGCUACGCUACCGUGAAUACGUUCCCGGG
Molecule: ribosomal RNA, 819 nt
Filed under: uncultured bacterium
Lineage: Bacteria
Description: bacterial SSU rRNA
Rfam family: Bacterial small subunit ribosomal RNA
Source: RNAcentral